UUUUGGUUGCUGCAGAGUCCUGGGAAGC
RNAcentral lists this non-coding RNA (28 nucleotides) under Mus musculus (house mouse). The record is from RNAcentral. Lineage: Eukaryota; Metazoa; Chordata; Mammalia; Rodentia; Muridae.